CCCUUAGAUGUUCUGUGCCGCACGCGUGCUACACUGAGUGGAUCAGCGGGUCAGGUUGCGCGAAAGCGUUUCCUAAUCUUUAAAUCCGCUCGUGAUGGGGAUUGACGGUUGCAAUUUUCUGUCAUGAACGAGGAAUACCUUGUAAGCGCGGGUCAUCAUCCCGCGCUGAAUACGUCCCUGCCCUUUGUACACACCGCCCGUCGCUCCUACCGAUUGAGUGGUCCGGUGAGGCUUUGGGAUCUGAGCGGAAAGAGCGUUUCGCUGUUUCUGCUCGGAAAACUCAGUCGAACCUUAUCAUUUAGAGGAAGGAGAAGUCGUAACA
This 322-nucleotide ribosomal RNA is filed under the name uncultured eukaryote. Its description in RNAcentral is "partial 18S ribosomal RNA". It matches the Rfam family "Eukaryotic small subunit ribosomal RNA", at positions 1470 to 1796 of the family's 1831-position model. The record is from RNAcentral.